AGGAAGGCGGCGAGGUCGGCGCGCGCGGCCUUCAGCGCCGCUUGGUAGUCGGCGACGGCGACGGCCUCGUUCGUGCCGUGGCUCAUCUC
This 89-nucleotide transfer RNA is filed under the name Methylobacterium symbioticum. RNAcentral's name for it is "Methylobacterium sp. SB0023/3 tRNA-Sec". The record is from RNAcentral. Lineage: Bacteria; Pseudomonadati; Pseudomonadota; Alphaproteobacteria; Hyphomicrobiales; Methylobacteriaceae.